GAUGAACGCUGGCGGCGUGCCUAAUACAUGUAAGUCGAGCGAACGGACGAGAAGCUUGCUUCUCUGAUGUUAGCGGCGGACGGGUGAGUAACACGUGGAUAACCUACCUAUAAGACUGGGAUAACUUCGGGAAACCGGAGCUAAUACCGGAUGAUAUUUUGAACCGCAUGGUUCAAAGGUGAAAGACGGUCUUGCUGUCACUUAUAGAUGGAUCCGCGCUGCAUUAGCUAGUUGGUAAGGUAACGGCUUACCAAGGCAACGAUGCAUAGCCGACCUGAGAGGGUGAUCGGCCACACUGGAACUGAGACACGGUCCAGACUCCUACGGGAGGCAGCAGUAGGGAAUCUUCCGCAAUGGGCGAAAGCCUGACGGAGCAACGCCGCGUGAGUGAUGAAGGUCUUCGGAUCGUAAAACUCUGUUAUUAGGGAAGAACAUAUGUGUAAGUAACUGUGCACAUCUUGACGGUACCUAAUCAGAAAGCCACGGCUAACUACGUG
RNAcentral lists this ribosomal RNA (497 nucleotides) under uncultured bacterium. RNAcentral describes it as "partial 16S ribosomal RNA". It matches the Rfam family "Bacterial small subunit ribosomal RNA", at positions 28 to 507 of the family's 1533-position model. The record is from RNAcentral.